GUCGCAGUGAUGAGCAGCUAACAUGUAAGAAGAGCCAACUCUGUGUUGGUUCCUCGAUGAAAUCCUCUUGUUACGCUUGGCUUCUGAGCUUC
Andrographis paniculata is the source of this 92-nucleotide small nucleolar RNA. RefSeq annotates it as small nucleolar RNA R24. The transcript has a single exon. The record is from RefSeq and is a predicted model, not a curated record. NCBI's taxonomy places the organism in Eukaryota, Viridiplantae, Streptophyta, Magnoliopsida, Lamiales, Acanthaceae.